RNAcentral lists this ribosomal RNA (1260 nucleotides) under uncultured bacterium. RNAcentral's name for it is "partial 16S ribosomal RNA". It matches the Rfam family "Bacterial small subunit ribosomal RNA", at positions 48 to 1319 of the family's 1533-position model. The record is from RNAcentral.
CUUACACAUGCAGUCGAGGGGCAGCACGUCUUCGGAUGGUGGCGACCGGCGCACGGGUGCGUAACGCGUAUACAAUCUACCUUUUACAGAGAGAUACCCCAGAGAAAUUUGGAAUAAUACCUCAUAAUAUUGUUAAUUGGCAUCAAUUGACAAUUAAAGUUUCGGCGGUAAGAGAUGAGUAUGCGUCCUAUUAGCUAGUUGGUAAGGUAACGGCUUACCAAGGCGACGAUAGGUAGGGGUCCUGAGAGGGAGAUCCCCCACACUGGUACUGAGACACGGACCAGACUCCUACGGGAGGCAGCAGUGAGGAAUAUUGGUCAAUGGGCGAAAGCCUGAACCAGCCAUGCCGCGUGCAGGAAGACUGCCCUAUGGGCUGUAAACUGCUUUUAUACAGGAAGAAACACUCGGACGUGUCCGAGCUUGACGGUACUGUAUGAAUAAGCACCGGCUAACUCCGUGCCAGCAGCCGCGGUAAUACGGAGGGUGCAAGCGUUAUCCGGAAUCAUUGGGUUUAAAGGGUCCGUAGGCGGAUUAAUAAGUCAGGGGUGAAAUCCCACAGCUUAACUGUGGAACUGCCUUUGAUACUGUUAGUCUUGAGUUAUAUGGAAGUAGAUAGAAUGUGUAGUGUAGCGGUGAAAUGCAUAGAUAUUACACAGAAUACCGAUUGCGAAGGCAGUCUACUACGUAUAUACUGACGCUAAUGGACGAAAGCGUGGGGAGCGGACAGGAUUAGAUACCCUGGGUAGUCCACGCCGUAAACGAUGGACACUAGUUGUUGGAGCAACUCAGUGACUAAGCGAAAGUGAUAAGUGUCCCACCUGGGGAGUACGAUCGCAAGAUUGAAACUCAAAGGAAUUGACGGGGGCCCGCACAAGCGGUGGAGCAUGUGGUUUAAUUCGACGAUACGCGAGGAACCUUACCAGGGCUAAAUGUAGGUUGCCAUAGACAGAGAUGUUUAUUUCUCCSGGACUACUUACAGGUGCUGCAUGGUUGUCGUCAGCUCGUGCCCUGAGGGGUCCGGUUAAAUCCUAUAACCAACGCCACCCCCGUCCUUAAUUGCCCACCAAUUAAGUUGGGGGAUUUAACGAAGCCGCCGGGGCCAACCCCGAGGAAAGGGGGGGAGACGUCAAAUCAUCCCGGCCCCUACGUUCUGGGGUACCCCCCUGGUUCCAUGGUAAGGACCGAGAGCCACCCCUGGGUGGCCCGGAACGAAUUUACCAACCCUAACCCCAUUUGGAUUGGAGUUUGCAACUUGGCUCC